UUCGGUCUCCUCCGUCCGCCCCCCCUCCCCCGCUUUGCUUUUUCCUCUGUCUUUUUAAUUCUCAAUCUGCUUAACCAGGCUUUAGAAGCCAAGCAAAUCUGAGAUCAAUUUUCUCGUUUAGCUCUAAAUGACAUCAUCUAAAAUCAUUGUGCAAGGGCUAAAUAAGGAAACAGACUCUAAUUCAGGGGCAAACGCCAGGCUAUAUUUAUCAAACGCCAGGCUCUAGAAAGCCACGGCCAGGAAGCCUCCGGCAGCGAAAUCCUAGCCUUCCCCGCUUGGUUUCUCCCGGCCGGUGCUGGACCUGAGUGGGAGCCGCGCCUCCUCCUCCGCAGUCUCUCUCCUCCUCUGGGGCCCGGGACCAAGGACUCCCGGAGUCCCGAAGUCUCCGCGGCCCGAACCGACUCUGGACCAUUUGGAAGACGCCAGCAGGUAACUGGCCUCCCUAAAUGCCUCUGAGAAUUAAAGGCCUACCGGAGGAUUGUUUUGUGUUUGUGGUUUUGUAAGUGCGAUGCCACGACAAAAGCUUGGGAGAGACACACUCCAUCC
RNAcentral lists this long non-coding RNA (546 nucleotides) under Bos taurus (domestic cattle). RNAcentral's name for it is "long non-coding RNA NONBTAT020027". The record is from RNAcentral. Lineage: Eukaryota; Metazoa; Chordata; Mammalia; Artiodactyla; Bovidae.